GACAGGAAUUGAACCUGGGACCUUUCAGUCCGCAGACCGAUGCUCUACCACUGAGCCAAACCGGCUUCGGCUAGGGCCAGAAUUUUUUUAUGUAGCCAUUCCAUCAUGGAUACAUGUGGGAAAUAGAAAAUUAUGACUUUGGGAAUUUAAUGAUUUGUAUAAUUGUCUUUAAGAACCCUAAGAAGAAAGAUUUCCUAAUUUAUAUCUCACUAACAUUCUUUUGGCCUGGGUAUUUCUGACUCAUGAAAAAGAAAAAUAUAUUUUCAAUCCUAAGUGUUGCCUAUAGUGAUUUCCAGAAUCCAGUUGUAGGAAGCUAAUCAUUUGUACAAGGUCAAGUAUCAUGAUCAAAAUAGGCACACUCUCCUACCUCAGCAGUUAAAUAAGAAUGUUUGAGGAGGCAGCGUGGUAAGAGGAAAUUUUAAAAGGUUUGGUUCAAAUAUUAAGCAAUGUAAAAGAAGGCUACUAUUGUAGAAGGGCGGUGAGUUUAGAAGAUGCAUCUGAAGAGCACUCUUCGCAUUAUAGAAGGGUCUAGAGAGAGCACCCUUCUGUUUAUCAGUGAUCAUGAGAACAUGGCUGCCGCUGCUGGCUAAGAUGGAAUAGCAGAGAGCAGAGCAUGAGGAACGAGUCUUUAGUAAGAUGACUGCAUAGGCUGACAGUGCUUGCAUUUCCCCUGCGAGGCUUUUCCACGCUGCUUUUGUUACUCAACACCAUAAUCAUAAUCAGAAGAUGACAGCCUCAGAUCCCAGCUCUGCAGGUACUUCCACUUAAGAUCAAAUUAAUUGCCCGGCCAGCAUGGCAACGGUGGUUGAGUGUCACCCUAUGAACCAGGAGGUCACCGGUUCGAUUC
Molecule: long non-coding RNA, 847 nt
Organism: Pipistrellus kuhlii (Kuhl's pipistrelle)
Lineage: Eukaryota; Metazoa; Chordata; Mammalia; Chiroptera; Vespertilionidae
Exons: 3
Source: RefSeq, a predicted model, not a curated record